This 564-nucleotide ribosomal RNA is filed under the name uncultured bacterium. Its description in RNAcentral is "bacterial SSU rRNA". It matches the Rfam family "Bacterial small subunit ribosomal RNA", at positions 338 to 916 of the family's 1533-position model. The record is from RNAcentral.
CCUACGGGAGGCAGCAGUGGGGAAUCUUGCGCAAUGGGCGAAAGCCUGACGCAGCAACGCCGCGUGCGGGAAGAAGGCCUUAGGGUUGUAAACCGCUUUCAGUAGGAACGAAAAUGACGGUACCUGCAGAAGAAGGUGCGGCCAACUACGUGCCAGCAGCCGCGGUGACACGUAGGCACCAAGCGUUGUCCGGAUUUAUUGGGCGUAAAGAGCUCGUAGGCGGUUCAGUAAGUCGGGUGUGAAAACUCUGGGCUUAACCCAGAGCCGCCACUCGAUACUGCUGUGACUUGAGUUCGGUAGGGGAGCAGGGAAUUCCUAGUGUAGCGGUGAAAUGCGCAGAUAUUAGGAGGAACACCGGUGGCGAAGGCGCUGCUCUGGGCCGAUACUGACGCUGAGGAGCGAAAGCGUGGGUAGCAAACAGGAUUAGAUACCCUGGUAGUCCACGCCGUAAACGUUGGGCACUAGGUGUGGGUUCCAACCAACGGAAUCCGCGCCGUCGCUAACGCAUUAAGUGCCCCGCCUGGGGAGUACGGCGGCAACGCUAAAACNCAAAGGAAUUGACGG